Molecule: ribosomal RNA, 406 nt
Filed under: uncultured bacterium
Lineage: Bacteria
Description: partial 16S ribosomal RNA
Rfam family: Bacterial small subunit ribosomal RNA
Source: RNAcentral
AUUGAACGCUGGCGGCAGGCCUAACACAUGCAAGUCGAACGAGUGGCGGACGGGUGAGUAAUGUCUGGGAAACUGCCCGAUGGAGGGGGAUAACUACUGGAAACGGUAGCUAAUACCGCAUACCAUCGCAGGUGCCCAGAUGGGAUUAGCUUGGGGGUGGGGUAAUGGCUCACCUAGGCGACGAUCCCUAGCUGGUCUGAGAGGAUGACCGUCCAACCGGGAACGGAGACACGGCCCGGACUCCUACGGGCGGCAGCCGUGGGGAAUCUUGCACAAUGGGCGCAGGCCUAAUGCAGCCAUGCCGCGUGUAUGAAGAAGGCCUUCGGGUUUUAAAGUCCUUUCAGCGGGGAGGCGUUACCCGCAGAAGAAGCACCGGCUAACUCCGUGCCAGCAGCCGCGGUAAUUC